This 515-nucleotide ribosomal RNA is filed under the name uncultured bacterium. RNAcentral describes it as "partial 16S ribosomal RNA". It matches the Rfam family "Bacterial small subunit ribosomal RNA", at positions 28 to 523 of the family's 1533-position model. The record is from RNAcentral.
GAUGAACGCUGGCGGCGUGCCUAAUACAUGCAAGUCGAGCGAAUGGAUUAAGAGCUUGCUCUUAUGAAGUUAGCGGCGGACGGGUGAGUAACACGUGGGUAACCUGCCCAUAAGACUGGGAUAACUCCGGGAAACCGGGGCUAAUACCGGAUAACAUUUUGAACCGCAUGGUUCGAAAUUGAAAGGCGGCUUCGGCUGUCACUUAUGGAUGGACCCGCGUCGCAUUAGCUAGUUGGUGAGGUAACGGCUCACCAAGGCAACGAUGCGUAGCCGACCUGAGGGGGUGAUCGGCCACACUGGGACUGAGCCACGGCCCAGACUCCUACGGGAGGCAGCAGUAGGGAAUCUUCCGCAAUGGACGAAAGUCUGACGGCGCAACGCCGCGUGAGUGAUGAAGGCUUUCGGGUCGUAAAACUCUGUUGUUAGGGAAGAACAAGUGCUAGUUGAAUAAGCUGGCACCUUGACGGUACCUAACCAGAAAGCCACGGCUAACUACGUGCCAGCCGCCGCGGUAA